RNAcentral lists this long non-coding RNA (287 nucleotides) under Physcomitrium patens. RNAcentral's name for it is "long non-coding RNA (PPAT_LNC009865)". Lineage: Eukaryota; Viridiplantae; Streptophyta; Bryopsida; Funariales; Funariaceae. The record is from RNAcentral.
UAGGAUUUGGGUUAGGGUUUAGGAUUUUUUUAGGAUUUGAUUUAGGGUUUGGAUUAGGGUUUAGGAUUUGGUUAGGGUUUGAUUUAGGGUUUUGUUAGGAUUUGAUUUAAGAUUUGAUUUAGGGUUUAGGAUUUGGAUUAGGAUUUAGGGUUGGAUGUCAUGGACACAGAAAUACAAACUCGAGAUUUAACAAGAAGUUCAGGAAGAACUGGUAAGAACUAGAUUAAUCAGAUGAGAACAACACUGGAGAGGUGAGCUAGAGCUCCAAGAGAUGUGUUGUCGAGACU